This is an RNA transcript of Malania oleifera, 5817 nucleotides long. RefSeq lists it as uncharacterized. The record is from RefSeq and is a predicted model, not a curated record. NCBI's taxonomy places the organism in Eukaryota, Viridiplantae, Streptophyta, Magnoliopsida, Santalales, Ximeniaceae. The transcript is spliced from 5 exons.
GUUUUAUAUAAUCAAUCUGUAAAAAAUUGUUUUCUGUUAUUCAAUAUUCCUUUUGCUGUAUAUAUAUACCUUCAAUUAUCAAUGAGAACUGUGUGAGAACAAUUCCAGAUAUUCAGUAUCCUUCAUUCGUCCAUUCCUGCUACUCCAAUUCUAGUCUCUUAGCAUGGUAUUAGAGCCUUCUCAGACCUCCAGUCUCUCUGAUCCCCCCUCAAUGGCAGCGAGUCUGUCAUCUCCCUCUUCCUCUCACUUCUUGGCUGCUCCAUCCUUCUCGCACAUCAUCACCACCAAACUCUCCACCGAUAACUACCUAUUGUGGAAUGCCCAAAUCUCAGCUUAUCUUCGUGGACAUGACCUCUUCUCUUUUGUUGACGGCUUGUCCAUCCCUCCCUUGGAAUUUCUUCCCGAUUCUUCCCAAUCGAACCUGAAACCCAAUCCCGACUAUCAUUCUUGGAGGUGUAUUGAUCAAUUGGUUCUCAACAUCCUUUUCUCCUUUCUCUCAUACUCCAUUUUAGGUCAUGUUUUGGCCUCCAAAACUUCCCAUCAGCUAUGGUCUGCAAUUUCGUCCAUGUUCUCCUCUCAAGCUUAUGCCAAAUAAUUCCAAACUCGUUUCCAACUCACAAAUCUCUCCCAAGGUGAUCAAUCCAUCUCCGAUUACGUUGGUUGAGUCUGUCUUCUUGCCGACUCCAUCGUUGCCACCGGUAACCCUCUCUCCAACAAAGAGCUAGUCACAUACCUGUUGAAUGGCCUUGGCUCCACGUACGAACACCUCGUCACCUCCAUCACCACCAGAUCCACCCCUGUUUCCUUCCACGAGCUCUACCAACUACUACUUAUCGAUGAAUCUUGGCUUGCUCUCACAAAUUGACCCAUCCCUGCAUCUAUCGAACCAGCUGCACAUUUCACUUCGUCUGCACGAGACCAACGAGGCCGUGGUCCCAAUUGUGGGGGACGCCAUGGUCGUGGCAGGGGUCGGUUCUCCGACUCUGCUCGUGGUGGCUGAUCGUCAUCUCCGUCUCAGUCUUCUCAACAUUACAACGCCCAUCGACCGAUUUGUCAGGUCUGCAACAAGGCAGGCCAUGUAGCUCUUUAGUGCUGUCAACAAUUCAACCAUGCAUAUCAAUUUGAACCUCCUAGCAAUUUCUCUGUUCACUACACCGCUCAUACUCCAUUUUAUGAAUCGGUUUGGUACCCUGAUUCUGCAGCCACUCAUCAUCUCACAAAUGAUCUCUGUAACUUGAACUUAUCUUCUGAAGCAUAUGAAGGUGGUGAGACCAUACGGUUGGGUGAUGGCAAUGGCCUUCCAAUGAAAAACUCUGGACAAGGCAACCAGGAAAAUUCUCCUCAUUGGUCCAACUCGUGAUGGUCUCCACCAAUUUCCAUUGACUACAACCAUUCUGUCAUCUCCAUCAACCCAUAUUGGCGAACGAACCUCCAUGGAUCAAUGGCAUCGAAGGCUUGGUCAUUUUUUUUAACCUUGGUCUCUAAGUCCUGCGAUCCAAGAGCCUUCCAUUAUCUCCCACUGAUUAUGUGUUUCAAUGUUCUGAAUAUCCCCUAGAAAAAUGUCAUCAGUUUUCCUUUUCCUCAAAACAGGCCCAUUAUACUAGGCCCUUACAAUCAUUAUAUGCUAACCUAUGGGGUCCAGCCCACCAUGUCUCAAGAAAUGUUUAUAAAUAUUAUCUUUAAUUUGUGGACUCCUUCACAUGCUUCACUUGGAUUUUUCCCAUCAAGUCAAAGUCUGAUGUCUUCCAUAUUUUCACCACUUUUUUAACAUUCAUUGAACAACUCUUUAACACCAAACUCAUUACCUUACAAACUCAUGGGGGAGGUGAGUUUCAACCUCUCACCACCUUUUGCAAACAACUUUGCAUUACUCACAGAUUCUCAUGUCCUCAUACACACCAACAAAAUGGCCACAUAGAAAGAAAACAUCGUCACAUUGUAGAAACGGGCCUAGCCCUCCUUGCUCACUCAUCUCUCCCGUUCUCAUAUUGGCCCGAGGCUUUUGAAACUGCGGUUUUCCUGAUCAAUCUCUUACCCACUCCUGUUCCGAAGAACAAAUCUCCCUACUCCUUGGUCUAUCAUUAAGAGUCUGAUUACAAGUUUCUUAAAGUUUUUGGGUGUGAAUGUUGGCCCAACUUUCGACCAUAUUCCUCUCACAAAUUAAAGUUCCGGUCCACGUCAUGUCUCUUCUUAGGCUACAGUCCAACACAUAAAGGCUACAAGUGUCUUGAUCUCAACUCAAAUUGCAUGUACAUUUCAUGUGAUGUCAUAUUCAAUGAAUAUUCAUUCCCUAUCUUCAAAACCAGGACCACACCAAUUUCUAACCCAUCUACCUCCCGGCCAGCCCCUCUACCUGUCCAACACAUAAAGGCUACAAGUGUCUUGAUCUCAACUCAAAUUGCAUGUACAUUUCAUGUGAUGUCAUAUUCAAUGAAUAUUCAUUCCCUAUCUUCAAAACCAGGACCACACCAAUUUCUAACCCAUCUACCUCCCGGCCAGCCCCUCUACCUGUCCUUCCCUCCUCCAUCUUAGGCCCACAUCCAAGCACCCGUUUACCUUUAUCUCCUAUCACCCCAGCUAAUCCCAAUCCCCCCCCCCCCCCCCCCAUCUCCACCCCAAUCCUCUCACCAACAUUAUCCCUUUCCUCUGAUUCUUCUCCUGCACCCCCUCCAUCCCCCGCUUUGUCUAAUCCUAAUCCUUGUCUUAUCCCACCUUGUUCCCCUAUCGUCACUCGAUCCCACCCCAAUUCAUAUCGUCCAUGGAAUUUUACUGAUGGAACCAUGCUAUACCCCACUCGCAAUUGUCUUACUGUCUAUGCAGGUGUACCAGAUGAUCCUUCAAGUUUUUCCGAGGCUAACAAACACACUGAAUGGAAGGAGGCCAUGUCCAAAGAAUACGAUGCUCUCAUUCGGAAUUAGACAUGGACUUUGGUACCACCUGUACCUCACAUGAAUGUAUUGGGAUGCCGUUGGAUCUUUCGCACCAAAACCCUAGCUGGUGGUUCUUUUAAGAGACGGAAGGCACGUCUUGUUGCGAAAGGGUUUCAUCGACCAGUUGUUAGACUUCCAUGACACAUUCAGCCCUGUAGUAAAACCCUCAAUCAUCCAGCUUAUUAUAUCUAUUGUUGUAUCUCAUGGCUGGUGCUUGCAUCAAAUUGACAUUGAAAAUGCAUUCUUACAUGGUGUGCUCACUGAUGAUGUCUAUAUGCAGCAACCUCAAGGUUUUGUGGAUCCCUCUCGGCCUUCCCACGUCUGCAAACUUGAGAGAGCUAUAUAUGGGCUUAAGCAAGCCCCACGUGCAUGGUUUGCUCAGUUAAGUUCCUAGUUCCUUGAUUACGGCUUUAUUGCUUCUAGAGCUGACCCAUCUCUUUUUAUUCUCAAUUGCAAUGAUCUUCAUAUGUACUUGCUUAUCUAUGUGGAAGAUAUAGUCAUCACAUUUUCCAAACAGUCCGCCAUCGUUGAUCUCAUUCAUGAUUUGGGACUUGCCUUUCCAGUAAAAGAUCUUGGUACUCUUAUCUUUCUUUUUUGGCAUUGAAGUUGACUACACCACUGAUGGUCUUGUCUUAUCUAAGAAAAUACAUCAAGCAACUUCUCAGCCGCAGCAAUAUGCUUCAUGCCAAACCAAUUUCGUCACCAAUGGUUGCCUCCCUAAAAUUGUCCAAAACCGAUACCCCAAAUUUUGAGGAUGUUACUCUAUAUCGCAGCAUUGUAGGAGGCUUGCAAUAUCUCUCGGUUGCACAACGAGAUAUUUCCUUCUCUGUCAACAAGGUCUUUCAAUUCAUGAGUUCCCCAAAAUCAUCUCAUUGGAGUGCAAUAAAGCGCAUACUCAGAUACUUGAAAGCCACCAUAAAUGAUGGUCUCUUCUUUGCCUCCAACUCACGUCUCAGGCUCCGAGCUUUCUUGGAUGCCAAUUGCGGAGGUUGUCCUGAUGAUCGUCGUUCCACGAGGGGGAUUUUGCAUCUAUCUUGGCAAACACUUCAUAUCUUGGAGUUCCAAAAAGCAUUAGACGGUUGCUAGGUCUUCAAUGGAAGCUGAGUACAAGUCCAUAGCUUCCUCAGCAGCUAAACUUAUUUGGUUACUAAUUGUGUUGUGUGAGCUUGGCAUUAAGCUCUUUCAAGCUCCCACUUUAUGGUGUGACAACCUAGGGGCAACAUAUCUAUCAUCUAAUCCAGUUUUUCACUCAAGAACAAAACACAUGGAUAUUGUUUUUCAUUUUGUUCGAGUUCGGGUGGCUGCGAACUCGCUUAAAGUUUCUUUCAUUAGCUCCCAAGAUCAAAUUGCAGUUGUCUUGACAAAACCAUUGGUUUCUGACAAAUUUCUUCGGUUCAAAUCGAGUCUCUAUGUUAUUGAUACAUCGUUGAACUCGAAGGGGCGUACUAAGCUAUAUAACCCAGCUGCACACAAGGAGGCCUUUUCACAAACAGUUGGUGCACAGGAAUCAACAUCUCUGUAAUUAGUUAUGGCUGUUCAUUGUAUUAUUCCUUUUUUCUGUUUUAUAUGACCAAUCUGUUACAAAUUGUUUUCUGUUAUUCAAUAUUCCUUUUGCUGUAUAUAUAUACCUUCAAUUAUCAAUGAGAACUGUGCAAGAACAGUUCCAGAUAUUCAGUAUCUUUCAUUCGGCCAUUCCUGCUACCCUUCUUCAAUUCUAGUCUCUUAACAGUGCACUUAAAAACAUUUUUUUAGAUUCAAUGAAAACCAAUACUAUAACUUGUCCGAAUUGUCUCUUUGUUUGCAUAUGGCAGUGAAGGGUCCUAAAAGUCCUAAUCAUUCUUUUGUUUUUUAUUUUGAAUUUUGACAGAUAACAGAUGUUUUGUGUUUAUUUCUCCCUCUUGUAUGAGAACUUGAAAUUAUUCACAUGUAUGAACUCUUUUUCAUUAGCUUACACCAAGAGAUCAGUUCUGGGCCUUUUUGCAUGUUCUCUGCUCUUGCAUUUUGGUUUUCAAUCAAAAUCAUUGUCCUUCGCUAACAGAGUCCUUCCUAUGUCUUCAACUGCUUGAGAAUCUCAAAAUGAGACCAAAUGGAAAUUUAUGUAUAUGUAAAUUCUAAACAAAUAAAUGAUCAAUUAAAUGAUCACUUUUGAAAGGUCCUACUUAAAAUUAUUACUAUUAUAGCAGAACCAACUUUUAAAGUGUAUCUACUUCUGAAUUUGCAUGCACUUCCCUCUGCACCGAUACGUGUCAAAUUUUUUGCAAAUCAAGAAGAGACUCAUUUGAUUGACUUCGCUGGUGGUGAACAACGUGUCAAAGUUUUUAUUGAAGAAUCUUCCUACACAAGAGAGGAGGAGGCUGGCCGCUACCCUGUUUGUCUCUCAAUAUUUGAACCUCAACAGAAUGACGUUUGGUACGCCAAAGGGUUUGGUUUUGAGGAUUAUGUCAAUGCUGUGUUCCUCCUCAUCGUUGUACUUCAUGGCAUCACAAGCAAAUCCACAACUCUUCUGUGUAAGGUUCGCGAUUGCAUCCAUGUCUAUGGUGGCUGUUUGGAGUUUCAUUUUACUUCUUGCCGAAGGAUUUUCUUUGUUCAUUUGGCAGUUACCUCGUCCAAGAAAAGUUGUGAUUCUUACCGUUGCAUUGGAUUGGAUAUUGGCGCAUAUAUCAAUGGCAGCAGCUGGUCAAACCAUCUCUGUGGUUGCUUUUCUGUCGCGGACUACAAGGAGCCCCCCGUGUCCUUCUACUUUGUGUACAGCAUAUUUGUUAUCUUGCAUUCUAGGUUUCUUUUCAUGGUUCUUUUUGUUUGUGCCUGCUGUGUUAAAUUUCUAGAUGAAUGAUCUCUCAAAUUGGAAAAUUGGUUAUAUAUACUUCUAAGCAUAUAUGGUUUGUCA